CCUACGGGAGGCAGCAGUGAGGAAUAUUGGUCAAUGGACGCAAGUCUGAACCAGUCAUGCCGCGUGCAGGAAGACGGCUCUAUGAGUUGUAAACUGCUUUUGUACGAGGGUAAACGCAGAUACGCGUAUCUGUCUGAAAGUAUCGUACGAAUAAGGAUUGGCUAACUCCGUGCCAGCCGCCGCGGUUAUACGGAGGGUUCAAGCGUUAUCCGGAUUUUAUGGGUUUAAAGGGUUCGUAGGCGGUCGUAUAAGUUAGAGGUGAAAUCCCGAGGCUCAACUUCGGAAUUGCCUCUGAUACUGUUCGGCUAGAGAGUAGUAGCGGUAGGCGGAAUGUAUGGUGUAGCGGUGAAAUGCUUAGAGAUCAUACAGAACACCGAUUGCGAAGGCAGCUUACCAAGGUACUUCUGACGUUGAGGCACGAAAGCGUGGGGAGCAAACAGGAUUAGAUACCCGGGUAGUC
This 460-nucleotide ribosomal RNA is filed under the name uncultured bacterium. RNAcentral describes it as "partial 16S ribosomal RNA". It matches the Rfam family "Bacterial small subunit ribosomal RNA", at positions 338 to 795 of the family's 1533-position model. The record is from RNAcentral.